This 729-nucleotide long non-coding RNA is filed under the name Zonotrichia albicollis (white-throated sparrow). Its description in RNAcentral is "lncRNA (ENSZALG00000000047.1)". The record is from RNAcentral. Lineage: Eukaryota; Metazoa; Chordata; Aves; Passeriformes; Passerellidae.
UCAAUUCCAGGAUCCCACAAAUCUGGCAUUCCCUUCUUCCAGGAUCCCAUAAUUUUCAGAUUUCAUUAUUCCAUGACUUCAGGAUCCCAUAAAUCUGGUAUUUUCUAGGAUUCCUUAAUUCUUGGAUUUUGUUUUUCCAGGACUCCACAAUUCCAGGAUCCCAUAAACCUGACAUUUUCUUUCUCUAGGAUCCCAUCAUUCUUGGAUUUUGUUAUUCCAAAUCUCCACAAUUCCAGCAUCCCAUAAAUCUGACAUUCUCUUUUUCUAGAGUCCCAUAAUUGCAGGAUUUCAUUUUUCCAGGACCCCACAAUUCCAGGAUCCCAUAAAUCUGACAUUCCCUUUUGUUCCCAGUUUGUUCCCAGUUUGUUCCCAGUCCUUCCCAGUUUGCUCCCAGUCAUUCCCAGUCAUUCCCAGUCAUUCCCAGUUUGCUCCCAGUCAUUCCCAGUCAUUCCCAGUCAUUCCCAGUUUGCUCCCAGUCAUUCCCAGUUUGUUCCCAGUUUAUUCCCAGUCAUUGCCAGUCAUUCCCAGUCAUUCCCAGUCGUUCCCAGUCGUUCCCAGUUUGUUCCCAGUCAUUGCCAGUCAUUCCCAGUCAUUCCCAGUCGUUCCCAGUUUGCUCCCAGUUUGCUGCCAGUCAUUCCCAGUUUGCUCCCAGUCAUUCCCAGUGGUUCCCAGUUUGCUCCCAGUUUAACCCUGUCGGUCCCGGGCAGAUAUCGUGAACACGGCGCGCCC